CAGGGGAUUGCAGUGGCAAAGCUAGGCUAGGUCUUGGAGGCUGGUGUAAGGCGAUGCGGGUGAAGGCAGGAGGCUGAUGGAGAGACUGGGGGGAAGAAAAGCCGAAAUGGAUUCACGGUGCCUUGGAUGAAGGACGAGAGGGGAACUGCAAGCUCCUUCAACUGGUUCUGUCCGGUGAGAAGUGAUCAAGCUUGGGCUGACAAGAGGCUCAGGGAGCCCUCACGUUCUUUCGCUUUUUUACCUGCCAAUCAAACUGCUACAAGACAACACCCUGAUCUGGCAUGGACAUCGCGGGUCCAAGCCUGUAGCCCCAAAUCGGAUAAUCUCUGCAGCUGAUAACAAGCAAAAGAGAAGCCAGGCAACAGCCAUAUUAAAGAAGAAAACAGUCAACUCUGAGUCUCAAUACCUUCACAGAGGUGAAGAAGCAGCAACCAAAUGAAUUAGACAGCAACAUGAUUCCUAGAGAAUGGCAAGACCAAUUCUUCAACUACUUCUUCAGCAUUUCUGAAACAUAUGGAAGAUGGCCCAUUGUGCUCUCUUAAUUCUUUGAUAAUCUGGACAUUGACUUUUCCAUUAUAUGACCUGGGCUUGUGGGCAUCAUGUCAUAAUGCACCUGUUCAGACAUCUCCCUGUACCAAUAUGGAUCACUUGAAGAGACUCCUUUGCCUCCAUCAAAAAGGAUACAGUUGUGUA
Molecule: small RNA, 693 nt
Filed under: Pan troglodytes (chimpanzee)
Lineage: Eukaryota; Metazoa; Chordata; Mammalia; Primates; Hominidae
Description: sense overlapping
Rfam family: SOX2 overlapping transcript exon 3 (bases 14-289)
Source: RNAcentral